UACGGGGGGAGCAAGCGUUGUUCGGAUUUACUGGGCGUAAAGGGCGCGUAGGCGGCGUGACAAGUCACUUGUGAAAUCUCCGGGCUUAACUCGGAACGGUCAAGUGAUACUGUCGUGCUAGAGUACAGAAGGGGCAACUGGAAUUCUCGGUGUAGCGGUGAAAUGCGUAGAUAUUGGGAGGAACACCAGUGGCGAAGGCGGCUCACUGGACCGGUUCUGACGCUGAGGCGCGAAAGCGUGGGGAGCAAACGGG
RNAcentral lists this ribosomal RNA (253 nucleotides) under uncultured bacterium. RNAcentral describes it as "partial 16S ribosomal RNA". It matches the Rfam family "Bacterial small subunit ribosomal RNA", at positions 524 to 776 of the family's 1533-position model. The record is from RNAcentral.